CCCUGCCUCUUAUAGAGGACCUCACGCAACCAUUUUAGUGUUUAAUUUACGAUCCUCAAUAUGAUUAAUCAUUAUGUAUGGAAUGUGUUGUAGAUCAAGUUAUGGAGAGGGGGAAAUCGCAUCUGGAGCAAAACCAAGUGCAAACAUGGCAGCAGUGGAUCAUCUUGACAGUGCAGGAGACAGGGACAGAGGUCUUCAGGAAGUUCAUGGGAAGGAUCACAGCAACCAGAGCACCUACCGUCUGUCGGGGAUGGUCUCUCACCUCGGGGAGAGCAUCAACACCGGCCACUACGUCAGUGACGUAGCUCGAGAGGACGGCGCCGGAUGGUUGACCCUCAACGACGCCCGUGUGACGCCCGCGGAGACGCCGGUCCUGAGGACCAGAGAGAAGACCGCCUACAUGUUGUUUUACGUCCUAAGUGGAGCAGAAGAGGGAAGCCAUGUCCCACUGGCUCAGAACCAGGAGCCAUCUGGAGCUGAGAGGGACUGACACCUGUGAGGCCCAGGAGAGCGCUUGAUUGGUGGCAGAGUUCCCGUUGUCCGCGGAAACACUGAUUGGUGGUGCCUCUACAGCCCGCUCUGGGGGCCACACCCUGCAGCCCCCCUCUACAGCUGAGGCCCACCUUUAAACGCCCCCCUAGGGGCCACACCCUGAAGCCCCCCUCUACAUCCCCCCCUAGGGGCCACACCCUGAAGCCCCCCUCUACAUCCCCCCUAGGGGCCACACCCUGAAGCCCCCCUCUACAUCCCCCCUAGGGGCCACACCCUGAUGCCCCCCUCUAGGGGACCUGAGGCCCCUCUCUACACCCCCCUCUGGGGGCCACACCCUGCGUCCCCCUUCUACAGCCCCCUCUAGGGGCUAACCAACCCCCUCUACACCCCCCUCUCGGGGCCCUGCGGCCCACCUCUUUGGACUUUAAGGCUGAUCAUAAUGAGGAUCACUUUAUUUUUAUUUUGUAUCAUAAUAAUGAGGAGCAUAUUCAUAUUAUGUAUAAUAAUAAUGCUGAGG
Molecule: long non-coding RNA, 1009 nt
Filed under: Gadus morhua (Atlantic cod)
Lineage: Eukaryota; Metazoa; Chordata; Actinopteri; Gadiformes; Gadidae
Description: lncRNA (ENSGMOG00000034920.1)
Source: RNAcentral